AACGUAGGUGGCGAGCGUUAUCCGGAUUCAUUGGGCGUAAAGAGCUUGUAGGUGGUUGCGUAAGUUGGACGUGAAAACUCCGGGCUUAACUUGGAGAGGCCGUUCAAUACUGUGCGACUAGAGGAUGUCAGAGGGAAGUAGAAUUCCUGGUGUAGCAGUGAAAUGCGUAGAUAUCAGGAGGAAUACCCGUGGCGAAGGCGGCUUCCUGGGACAUAACUGACACUGAGAAGCGAAAGCUAGGGGAGCAAACGGG
Molecule: ribosomal RNA, 253 nt
Filed under: uncultured bacterium
Lineage: Bacteria
Description: partial 16S ribosomal RNA
Rfam family: Bacterial small subunit ribosomal RNA
Source: RNAcentral